GACGAACGCUGGCGGCGUGCUUAACACAUGCAAGUCGAGCGGUAAGGCCCUUUCGGGGGUACACGAGCGGCGAACGGGUGAGUAACACGUGGGCGACCUACCCUCAGCUUCGGGAUAAGCCUGGGAAACUGGGUCUAAUACCGGAUAUGACCCUUCCCUCGCAUGGGGGUUGGUGGUAAAGUUUUUUCGGCUGGGGAUGGGCCCGCGGCCUAUCAGCUUGUUGGUGGGGUGAUGGCCUACCAAGGCGACGACGGGUAGCCGGCUGAGAGGGCGACCGGCCACACUGGGACUGAGAUACGGCCCA
Molecule: ribosomal RNA, 304 nt
Filed under: uncultured bacterium
Lineage: Bacteria
Description: bacterial SSU rRNA
Rfam family: Bacterial small subunit ribosomal RNA
Source: RNAcentral